GAUUCUUUUUGUGUAUUGGUUCAGGUGCAGAAUCAGUAGCAGAGAUUUUGAUUGGAGCCAAACACACAAAAUCCAAUUUUUGUGUCAAAUUCCAAUAUUUCUAAAUCAACUAAAACAGUUAAACUCAUGCAUACACAUGAAGCUUCGGAGAAACAGAGAAAAAAACAGAGAAGCAUAACAUGAAGAACAGCACCAAUUGCAGAACCUUUAGAGCUUCGAAUUGAAGAGAAACAGAGCAAAGAACAACAUGAAGGUGAAGAAGUUAAAGAGUUCCUCUGUUUUUUCAGCUACAGUAGUUUUUAGCGUUAUGUCCCUGUUCUUCUUCGUUGAGUUCAGUUCUGCUUUGAGUUCAAGCACUGAAAAGUUGAGUUCAAGAACCGAAUGGUUAUCGUUGCUUCAACUUCGAUCUUCAUUGGGUAUAAGAG
Molecule: non-coding RNA, 425 nt
Organism: Arachis ipaensis
Lineage: Eukaryota; Viridiplantae; Streptophyta; Magnoliopsida; Fabales; Fabaceae
Source: RefSeq, a predicted model, not a curated record